Molecule: long non-coding RNA, 1404 nt
Organism: Armigeres subalbatus
Lineage: Eukaryota; Metazoa; Arthropoda; Insecta; Diptera; Culicidae
Exons: 3
Source: RefSeq, a predicted model, not a curated record
CGCACCCUGCGCAUUCGAAGAACCGCAAACGUUCGAAUGUCUAUCGUAUGCCUUCGGGCGAUCUAUCAUCGUACGCCUUCGUACGUUCUGAGUAUUGAAUUAUUGUUCUCAUGUAAUGUAUAAAGAAAGCUGAAAUAUAGAGUUAGUCUUUUCUGAAACUUGAACCGAUCCGGACUUGCUUUCCUCUUUACCGCUAUCACAGUCGACCUCGUGUUGGGUAUUUAAAAGUGGCGACAAGGAUUAAAAAAGUGACUAAACACUAUUCCUGGUAUCCGGAAGAGUGUUUAAUACCGUUUUCGGCGUUUAGCUUAGACAUUGAAUCGAAAUCAAUCGGCAAUUUUUUUACGGCAUUUGUUAGUAUAAAAGGAGGAGCAGAUCGAGUGAAAAACGUUGAUUCCAGUUUGGUUUUAGGAGAAAAAUAAAGGUUUCACUUGCCAAGGUUAUUUAGUUACCGGCGAUAUAAAACCGGCGGGAAAGUGUUUUAUACGCAUUUCCUUUUGACUACGAACGGCAUACAAUAUUCCAGUGAUUGUACCACUCCAGGACAUCUGCUCCAGCGAGUUUCCGGCAUUGAUUGGUGUUUCGGAUUUCGACUUUACCAAUCCUUAUGGUCGUUGGCAGCUGAUCGACGUUAUUGGUACGUCACAGCACGGGUCGGAAGUGAUCCCUCAUCCUAUUCCCAACUGGACGACAGAGUUUGAGAAGGUCGGUAUUCCUGAAACCGGUUCGUUUUUCCGGUAGAAGUUUUCGUGCGGCAAAGGUCGUUGUUGGCGAUUGUCAAAGGGAUUCUCCGAUACGUAUUGGAAGCGCCGAAGUAAUGGCGCAUCGGAAUCAAAUAAGGAUUCGUAGAGAUGAGUCACAUCGGCAAAGGCCAAACGUGUUCAUUACCCGAGACUGUACAGACGAAGCUACGAACGAGAUGGGAGAGGUUAUCGGAGAGAACCAGGAGUUUGGUGAAAACGGAUCGGAGGCACUUCCUAGGGGGAGCAACCGGACACGGAAACGAAAACGAGAAGCUUCCGGUAUUGACGUACAAGAACCCAGGAGGUCUAAACGUAACAAGAAGCCGAAUCACCAUGAAGAUUUUUGCUAUGAUUAAUUGAUUAAUUCAAAAUUAUUAUACAUUUAGUUUAAAUCUGUUAACAGUGAACUAUGAUUAUAUUUCUGAUAUUUCAAUAGCUGAAGUAAUCUGUGUGGCCAAGGCCAAAUCUGAAAUGCUAGAGAUAAGUUUAAAAGGGGAAGAAUUGUUAUACCCUUGCGCACCCUGCGCAUUCGAAGAACCGCAAACGUUCGAAUGUCUAUCGUAUGCCUUCGGGCGAUCUAUCAUCGUACGCCUUCGUACGUUCUGAGUAUUGAAUUAUUGUUCUCAUGUAAUGUAUAAAGAAAGCUGAAAUAUAGAGUUAG